GUCUCACUUUGGCAGCACAUAUACUAAAAUUGGAACAAUACAGAGAAUAUUAGCAUGACCCCUGUGUAAGGAUGAAAUGCCAAUUUGUGAAGCAUUCCAUAUUUUA
Small nuclear RNA from Jaculus jaculus (lesser Egyptian jerboa), 106 nucleotides. Lineage: Eukaryota; Metazoa; Chordata; Mammalia; Rodentia; Dipodidae. The record is from RefSeq and is a predicted model, not a curated record.